AUGGCAGGUCAUGGAUGAAUCAUCAAACCUCAUCAUCGAUCAUAUGAUAGAUUUAAUCAGCUCAAGUCCAUAUAUGAUUCUAUGAAAACUCUUUCAUAUCAAUCACACUACUAUGGCCAUAGACUUAAGGACUCAGCCUCUUAAAUCUCAUAGGACUACUCCCUUCUAUCAGGGGUCGAUAGAUUCCAUCUUGAUGCACAUUCCACUUCUAUAGUGGACCAACUGUCGUCAACAUCUACUACAAGGGCUC
This 250-nucleotide long non-coding RNA is filed under the name Elaeis guineensis (African oil palm). RNAcentral describes it as "long non-coding RNA (EGUI_LNC039466)". Lineage: Eukaryota; Viridiplantae; Streptophyta; Magnoliopsida; Arecales; Arecaceae. The record is from RNAcentral.